Non-coding RNA from Epinephelus fuscoguttatus (brown-marbled grouper), 1117 nucleotides. NCBI's taxonomy places the organism in Eukaryota, Metazoa, Chordata, Actinopteri, Perciformes, Serranidae. The record is from the annotation of a RefSeq genome assembly.
AGAGUUGAACACUGGAUGACUGACAGCUGUCCUUCAUGACAACAGAAGCCACAGAAAUCCUCCUCUUCAUCAAAAACAUGACUUUGACCUCCGUCCUCAUCUGGACUCUCCUCUGCUGCUGCUUCACAGAGUCCAGAGGUCAGGUCACAGUGACUCAGCCUGGAGCAGUGAGCUCUGCUCUGGGAGGCUCCAUCACCUUCAGCUGUAGGACCAGUCAGCAGGUUUAUGGUGGGAGCUACUUGCACUGGUACCAACAGAGAGAUGGAGAAACUCCUAAACUGCUCAUUUAUAUAACUAGCACUCGAGCAUCAGGGAUUCCAGAUCGUUUUUCAGGCAGUGGAUCAAACUCUGACUUCACUCUGACCAUCAGUGGAGUUCAGGCUGAAGAUGCAGCAGUUUACUACUGUCAGAGUUAUCAUGAGAUCAACAGUCAGAGUGUGUUCACACAGUGAAAAAGCGUCGUACAUAAACCUCCCUCAGUCAGACUGAACAGAAACUGAAGUGACUGCUGCAGCUGGAAGCUACUGCAGAGACUGAUACACUUCACUGAAGAUGUGUAACAAACACAAAAAAUCAUCUAAUUUUCUAUUUCCAAAGCAUAUUUUCAGGUCAGAACACAUACAGAAAUUCUUCUUUCCAAAUGUAAAUCUGCAGGCUGUUUGCUCAGCUCGAUGUCUAUCAAACAAACUCAACAUGCAUAUGACAAUAUGUGAGAAAACAUUUUUGCUUCCCUGGUAGGGCAUGCAUGGAACAUCACCUCAACUUCACUUUGUUGACUAAGGGGUGUAUGUUUGCACAUGGGCGGUAGGGACAUGUCCCUGCCAAAGAUAAUUGUCCUGACCUGAUCUGAGUGAACUCGCUCACAUUAUGCUCGUUCUCACAGUUCAGUGCCCAACAGUACAGGAAAGUCACAUCUUGUGUUGAUUCAGUGAAACACAGUUCACUUUCACAGUUUUUUUUCCCCGUUAAAGGGUUUUUUGGGGAGUUUUUCCUGAUCAGCUGUGAGGGUCAUAAGGACAGAGGGAUGUCGUAUGCUGUAAAGCCCUGUGAGGCAAAUUGUGAUUUGUGAUAUUGGGCUUUAUCAAUAAAAUUGAUUGAUUGAUUGAUUGAUUGAUUG